Molecule: unclassified non-coding RNA, 207 nt
Filed under: Hevea brasiliensis (rubber tree)
Lineage: Eukaryota; Viridiplantae; Streptophyta; Magnoliopsida; Malpighiales; Euphorbiaceae
Source: RNAcentral
AGAAUUUCAAGUUUCUCAGCUAUUCAAGGUUUGCAAGAAUUUCAGCUAUUUGUUAAGUUAGUUAAAAUUUUUAAUUUGAUACCAAAUCCACUUUACUUUUCUAUCAAAAUUAAUUAAUUAGCUACGUGAUCCUAAUUAAAAAUAGGCUAACCCACAUAUUUAUGAGACUUGAAAUGACAGGGAGACUAAUGCACGGCCGGAGUACAA